UUUGACUGGGGCGGUCUCCUCCCAAAGCGUAACGGAGGAGCACGAAGGUUAGCUAAUCCUGGUCGGACAUCAGGAGGUUAGUGCAAUGGCAUAAGCUAGCUUGACUGCGAGCGUGACGGCGCGAGCAGGUGCGAAAGCAGGUCAUAGUGAUCCGGUGGUUCUGAAUGGAAGGGCCAUCGCUCAACGGAUAAAAGGUACUCCGGGGAUAACAGGCUGAUACCGCCCAAGAGUUCAUAUCGACGGCGGUGUUUGGCACCUCGAUGUCGGCUCAUCACAUCCUGGGGCUGAAGUAGGUCCCAAGGGUAUGGCUGUUCGCCAUUUAAAGUGGUACGCGAGCUGGGUUUAGAACGUCGUGAGACAGUUCGGUCCCUAUCUGCCGUGGGCGCUGGAGAAUUGAGGGGGGCUGCUCCUAGUACGAGAGGACCGGAGUGGACGCAUCACUGGUGUUCGGGUUGUCAUGCCAAUGGCACUGCCCGGUAGCUAAAUGCGGAAGAGAUAAGUGCUGAAAGCAUCUAAGCACGAAACUUGCCCCGAGAUGAGUUCUCCCUGAGACUUUAAGUCUCCUGAAGGAACGUUGAAGACGACGACGUUGAUAGGCCGGGUGUGUAAGCGCAGCGAUGCGUUGAGCUAACCGGUACUAAUGAACCGUGAGGCUUAACCUU
This 662-nucleotide ribosomal RNA is filed under the name Klebsiella pneumoniae. RNAcentral's name for it is "partial 23S ribosomal RNA". It matches the Rfam family "Bacterial large subunit ribosomal RNA", at positions 2269 to 2925 of the family's 2925-position model. RNAcentral also lists the same sequence under 2 other names. Lineage: Bacteria; Pseudomonadati; Pseudomonadota; Gammaproteobacteria; Enterobacterales; Enterobacteriaceae. The record is from RNAcentral.